Long non-coding RNA from Culex quinquefasciatus (southern house mosquito), 595 nucleotides. RefSeq lists it as uncharacterized. The transcript has 3 exons. The record is from RefSeq and is a predicted model, not a curated record. Lineage: Eukaryota; Metazoa; Arthropoda; Insecta; Diptera; Culicidae.
AAUUGUGUGUGGCACACGUUUAACAUAGUUUACUUUGUUUUUGGUGUGUGUUUCACACAAUUAACAUACACGCAAAUUCCAGAUAACACAGAUCUGUGUAAAAAAAUUACACAGAUUGUAGAACAUGUUCUAGCUGUCAAAACUGUGUAGUUUUAUAACACAGAUCUGUGUAAAAAGUUACACAGAUUUCCGAUCAGCUUUCCUUUCAAAUCUGGGUAAAAAAAGGAAAAGCUAAGAUGGCGUCGCUCUUGCAGCAAAUUUUUACUUAUCAACAAACUGAUCAUCAUAUGCACCGUAAACCCAUGGGGCGCAGUGGUCGUAUUUGGAUUCAAGUUGUCUCACACACACUGAAUUCCUCCGACGUGGUGCUUUUGGGGAACCUCGGAAGUCCAGAGCCCCGGAACUCGAGCCCGCGCUAACCAUUUUCCCAGUUCCGGUUCCAAGCGGAGAGUUCCAUAGACAGCACUAGUAAACGGACACUGUCAGCUUUUCCGGACCGGGGUAGUACGCUGAGUGGUCAAAUAUUUAGUUUAUGUUGUCUUAUGUAUAAAACCCAAAACAAAGAUUAAUAAAUGAUAUUAUAAUUUUUACUUGU